RNAcentral lists this ribosomal RNA (472 nucleotides) under uncultured bacterium. Its description in RNAcentral is "partial 16S ribosomal RNA". It matches the Rfam family "Bacterial small subunit ribosomal RNA", at positions 28 to 507 of the family's 1533-position model. The record is from RNAcentral.
GACGAACGCUGGCGGCGUGCUUAACACAUGCAAGUCGAGCGGAAAGGCCCUUCGGGGUACUCGAGCGGCGAACGGGUGAGUAACACGUGAGUAAUCUGCCCUUGGCUUUGGGAUAACUACCGGAAACGGUGGCUAAUACCGGAUACGACAACCGUCUGCAUGGGCUGGUUGUGGAAAGUUUUUUCGGCCAGGGAUGUGCUCGCGGCCUAUCAGCUUGUUGGUGGGGUAAUGGCCUACCAAGGCUUCGACGGGUAGCCGGCCUGAGAGGGUGACCGGCCACACUGGGACUGAGACACGGCCCAGACUCCUACGGGAGGCAGCAGUGGGGAAUAUUGGACAAUGGGCGGAAGCCUGAUCCAGCAACGCCGCGUGAGGGAUGACGGCCUUCGGGUUGUAAACCUCUUUCAGUACCGACGAAGCGCCGAUGAUGGUGGUGACGGCAGGUACAGAAGAAGCACCGGCCAACUACGUG